AGAACUUUGAAGAGAGAGUUCAAGAGUACGUGAAACCGUUCAGGGGUAAACCUGAGAAACCCAAAAGUUCGAAUGGAGAGAUUCAUCGUCAGCGAUCCCGGCGAUGCGCGGUUCGCGAUGCCGCGGGACUUCGGUCCCGCGGCACGCGUCCGUGUCGUUUCUUGCCGGGCGUCGUCGUCGUGCACUUCUCCCCUAGUAGGACGUCGCGACCCGUUGGGUGUCGGUCUACGACUCGGGUGGGUGCCCGUCAUGUGUUACGCUUCGCGGCGUCAUGUGGCAGACCCCCGGUUGUCCGACCAGCUGCCCGGCGGUACUCGCACGGUAUUGAGUCGCAAAUUUGAACUGCGUCCGGCCCGCCGCAAGCGAGGCCAGUGUUUCCCGGAUGUACGGACUCAGCGCCGUCACCGGGCCUGGCCAGCUGUUGGCCGGCGGUGUCCUGGGACUGACUCUAAACAAAAAUACCGGUCGGCGACGCUACUGCUUUGGGUACUUUCAGGACCCGUCUUG
RNAcentral lists this ribosomal RNA (507 nucleotides) under Diadegma sp. 1 PFRJ-2021b. RNAcentral describes it as "partial large subunit ribosomal RNA". Lineage: Eukaryota; Metazoa; Arthropoda; Insecta; Hymenoptera; Ichneumonidae. The record is from RNAcentral.